RNAcentral lists this ribosomal RNA (460 nucleotides) under uncultured bacterium. RNAcentral's name for it is "partial 16S ribosomal RNA". It matches the Rfam family "Bacterial small subunit ribosomal RNA", at positions 338 to 795 of the family's 1533-position model. The record is from RNAcentral.
CCUACGUGGGGCAGCAGUGAGGAAUAUUGGUCAAUGGACGAGAGUCUGAACCAGCCACGUCGCGUGAGGGAUGACUGCCCUAUGGGUUGUAAACUUCUUUUAUAUGGGAAUAAAAUGUUCCACGUGUGGGAUUUUGUCUGUACCAUAUGAAUAAGGAUCGGCUAACUCCGUGCCAGCAGCCGCGGUAAUACGGAGGAUCCGAGCGUUAUCCGGAUUUAUUGGGUUUAAAGGGAGCGUAGGUGGAUUGUUAAGUCAGUUGUGAAAGUUUGCGGCUCAACCGUAAAAUUGCAGUUGAAACUGGAAGUCUUGAGUACAGUAGAGGUGGGCGGAAUUCGUGGUGUAGCGGUGAAAUGCUUAGAGAUAACGAAGAACUCCGAUUGCGAAGGCAGUUCACUGGACUGCAACUGACACUGAGGCGCGAAAGUGUGGGUAUCAAACAGGAUUAGAUACCCGAGUAGUC